CCUACGGGUGGCAGCAGUGGGGAAUAUUGGACAAUGGGGGCAACCCUGAUCCAGCCAUGCCGCGUGUGUGAAGAAGGCCCUCGGGUUGUAAAGCACUUUCAGUGAGGAAGAACGCCUGGUGGUUAAUACCCAUCAGGAAAGACAUCACUCACAGAAGAAGCACCGGCUAACUCCGUGCCAGCAGCCGCGGUAAUACGGAGGGUGCGAGCGUUAAUCGGAAUUACUGGGCGUAAAGCGCGCGUAGGUGGCUUGAUAAGCCGGUUGUGAAAGCCCCGGGCUCAACCUGGGAACGACAUCCGGAACUGUCAAGCUAGAGUGCAGGAGAGGAAGGUAGAAUUCCCGGUGUAGCGGUGAAAUGCGUAGAGAUCGGGAGGAAUACCAGUGGCGAAGGCGGCCUUCUGGACUGACACUGACACUGAGGUGCGAAAGCGUGGGUAGCAAACAGGAUUAGAUACCCGAGUAGUC
Molecule: ribosomal RNA, 465 nt
Filed under: Vreelandella stevensii
Lineage: Bacteria; Pseudomonadati; Pseudomonadota; Gammaproteobacteria; Oceanospirillales; Halomonadaceae
Description: partial 16S ribosomal RNA
Rfam family: Bacterial small subunit ribosomal RNA
Source: RNAcentral